Molecule: long non-coding RNA, 209 nt
Filed under: Actinidia chinensis (golden kiwifruit)
Lineage: Eukaryota; Viridiplantae; Streptophyta; Magnoliopsida; Ericales; Actinidiaceae
Description: long non-coding RNA (ACHI_LNC003789)
Source: RNAcentral
CGCCGUAGGACCUCGUUGAAACCCUCAAGCUUUCUUCUCUGCCGCCGAGAGUUCGCUACGAUUCUAUCUCCUGGCUACCGCAACUCUCGUUAUCCUGCGUCACCAUUGAUUGGAUUGCAAGAAAACGGAAGAAAAUUCACGAAAGAUUCUUUCCGAGAUCGGAAUGCGCAACGAACAGAAGCGAAAAAUCGCGAAGAAAGAGAAUCGAU